AAGAACAAAUCUAGAGUCAUGCUGAGUCAAAUACAUUUGUAUUAUCAGUGUUGAGUACUUGCUAAGAUAAAUUGUGAACAAAAACGAAUACAUGCAAAAUUGUUUUGCUCUUGCGUUAAAGAUUUUUGGGGGAUAGCUAAAAUCAAGCCCAAGGUACAGUAUGUACUUGGGCUUUCUGGAAUUAGUUGGCUCUGCCCCAUUACGUAAGCACUGAAUGCUGAGGUUCCAGACAACCUGGGGGUCCGUGGACAAACGAGGGCCAUUAGCUUGCUAGGCCCUGGAAUGGUAUUGGUCUUGUCCAAUAAGUCACCACCUCACUCAGUUUUAUGGUGUGACUGGAGAGCAGUGAUAAAACUAGCAUUUAUCUGUCAACCUUUCAUCCAAGUGGAUUCACAUCUCAUUUUGAUCAAAAGGACAUAAUGAGAUACAUGCGCAAGCUGGAUAGGUUGGAUAUGCCAUACCAAAUAACAAUAUGGGCCCAAAAGAACAGAAUUGACAUACAGCAUGAACAUAGAUAGAUAGAUAACUAAAAUGACAGAGGUAUACUAUUUUUAACCAGCCACGUUCUCUGCAUAAAUGGUAAUUAUAUCAUAUUAAUUUUCAACCUACCACCUUUUAAAAAGCAAAAAAUAUGGCUUCUGCCCUCGUUCACGUUUGACAGUGGAAAAUAAAUUAUGGUUUGUGUCUUUUGUUCUGUUUGUUUGCUGGUGAACCAGAACAAGUUAACAAGCAGCUCAGCUUUGCAUGUAAUCUAGUUAUAUAACACCAGUAUGGAGCCACACAUCCAUUCAUCCCCCGUGUCACAUAGACAGGGACCUUGAUUCCGCUGGAUGUAUUACACUGCAGAUUUGAAGGUUCAAUUUUGAUUUUAGAGCUUUUUUGGACUUUAUCUUUUCUCAUACAUUUCAAGUGACAUAUGUCAACGGAUGGAAAUUGAAAACUGGUUUCAUAUUUAAUGCGUUUUUUCCUUUUUACGUGGAUCUAAACUGUACUGCUUGUUAUCCCCCCACCC
Hippocampus zosterae (dwarf seahorse) is the source of this 1012-nucleotide long non-coding RNA. RefSeq lists it as uncharacterized. The record is from RefSeq and is a predicted model, not a curated record. The transcript is spliced from 2 exons. Lineage: Eukaryota; Metazoa; Chordata; Actinopteri; Syngnathiformes; Syngnathidae.